CGAAACUAACAGAUUUACUUCGGUAAUGACGUUAGGAAAGCGAGCGGCGGAUGGGUGAGUAACACGUGGGGAACCUGCCCCAUAGUCUGGGAUACCACUUGGAAACAGGUGCUAAUACCGGAUAAGAAAGCAGAUCGCAUGAUCAGCUUUUAAAAGGCGGCGUAAGCUGUCGCUAUGGGAUGGCCCCGCGGUGCAUUAGCUAGUUGGUAAGGUAAAGGCUUACCAAGGCGAUGAUGCAUAGCCGAGUUGAGAGACUGAUCGGCCACAUUGGGACUGAGACACGGCCCAAACUCCUACGGGAGGCAGCAGUAGGGAAUCUUCCACAAUGGACGCAAGUCUGAUGGAGCAACGCCGCGUGAGUGAAGAAGGUUUUCGGAUCGUAAAGCUCUGUUGUUGGUGAA
Molecule: ribosomal RNA, 401 nt
Filed under: uncultured Lactobacillus sp.
Lineage: Bacteria; Bacillati; Bacillota; Bacilli; Lactobacillales; Lactobacillaceae
Description: bacterial SSU rRNA
Rfam family: Bacterial small subunit ribosomal RNA
Source: RNAcentral